RNAcentral lists this ribosomal RNA (140 nucleotides) under Meloidogyne arenaria. RNAcentral describes it as "partial 28S ribosomal RNA". It matches the Rfam family "Eukaryotic large subunit ribosomal RNA", at positions 1479 to 1591 of the family's 3401-position model. The record is from RNAcentral. Lineage: Eukaryota; Metazoa; Nematoda; Chromadorea; Rhabditida; Meloidogynidae.
GAUCCUUGAAGACUGAAGUGGAGAAGGGUUGCCACGUGAACAGUAGUUGAAUGUGGGUCAGUCGAUCCUAAGGCACCGGCUAAAGCCGUCUAGACACUGCGGGGAGAUGAGAUACUUAACGGUAUUUUGUCUACCUGGUU